AUUAAUAAUUAAUAUAUUUAAUAAAAAUAAUUUUAAUUUAAUAAGUAUUUUAAUGGGGGUUAAAGUAUUUUUUAAAGAAAAAAUUUUUAAAUUUAUAGUUAAUUAGUAUUGUGAAAGAAUUUUGAAAUAUUAUGAAAAAUAAAAUUUUUAGAAAGUAAUUUUUAUUUAUUGUAUCUUGUGUAUCAGAGUUUAUUAAAAAUUUUUAAUUUAUGAAUUAAUUUCUCGAAUUUAAAAGAGUUAAAUAAUUAUUAAAGUUAUUGUAGCAAAAUUAUUUUAAAUAAUUAUUUAGAAAUGAAAUGUUAAUCGUUUUUAAAUAUAUCUAGUUUUUAUAGAAAAAAAUUUAAUUUUAAAUUUAAAAAUUAUUUAAUUAAUUUAUUAAUUAAAUAGUUACUUAAAUUUUAUAAUUUAAGGGAUAAGCUUUAAAUUAAAUUUUUAUAAUAUUAAAUUUUUAUUUUGAAAAUUUUAUAAUUUAUAUUGUUAAUAAAUUUUAUUUUGUUAUAAAUAAUUUCAUUUUUUUUAAAAUUUAAAUUUUAUUUAAUUUUUUAUAUAAAAUUUAUUUAUAAUUAUAUAAAGUUAAUUAUAAUGAUAAAAUUAGUAUAUUAUUUAAUAUUAAAUUAAAAUUAAUUUUUGAUUAAUAAUUAAAUUAAUUAAAAGGAAUUCGGCAAAUAUUUAUUUUCACUUGUUUAUCAAAAACAUGUCUUUUUGUUAUUUAAUUUAAAGUCUAAUCUGCCCACUGAUUUAUAAAAAUUGAAGGGCUGCAGUAUAUUGACUGUACAAAGGUAGCAUAAUCAUUAGUCUCUUAAUUGGUGACUUGUAUGAAAGAUUGGAUGAAAAAUAUACUGUCUCUUAAUUAAUAUAUAGAAUUUAAUUUUUUAUUUAAAAAGUUAAAAUAACUUAAAAAGACGAGAAGACCCUAUAGAGUUUAAUAAAUUAUUUUAUGAAAGUUUUAUUUAUAUUUAUUAAUAAUUUUAUAAAUUUAUUUAUUUAGUUGGGGGGAUAAAAAAAUAAAUUUAACUUUUUUUAAGUAAUUUACAUGGAUAAGUGAUUAAU
This 1050-nucleotide ribosomal RNA is filed under the name Biston falcata satura. Its description in RNAcentral is "partial 16S ribosomal RNA". The record is from RNAcentral. Lineage: Eukaryota; Metazoa; Arthropoda; Insecta; Lepidoptera; Geometridae.